Molecule: ribosomal RNA, 459 nt
Filed under: uncultured bacterium
Lineage: Bacteria
Description: partial 16S ribosomal RNA
Rfam family: Bacterial small subunit ribosomal RNA
Source: RNAcentral
CCUACGGGUGGCAGCAGUGAGGAAUAUUGGUCAAUGGGCGGGAGCCUGAACCAGCCAAGUCGCGUGAGGGAUGACGGCCCUAUGGGUUGUAAACCUCUUUUGCCGGGGAGCAAAUUGCCGCACGUGUGCGGUUUUGAGAGUACCCGUAGAACAAGCAUAGGCUAACUCCGUGCCAGCAGCCGCGGUAAUACGGAGGAUGCGAGCGUUAUCCGGAUUUAUUGUGUUUAAAGGAUGCGUAGGCGGACGCUUAAGUCAGCGGGAAAAUUGCGGGGCUCAACCUCGUCGAGCCGUUGAAACUGGGUGCCUUGAGUGGGCGAGAAGUACGCGGAAUGCGUGGUGUAGCGGUGAAAUGCAGAGAUAUCACGAAGAACUCCGAUUGCGAAGGCAGCGUACCGGCGCACAAAUGACGCGGAAGCACGAAGGCGUGGGUAUCGAACAGGAUUAGAUACCCGUGUAGUC